RNAcentral lists this ribosomal RNA (2893 nucleotides) under Acinetobacter baumannii. Its description in RNAcentral is "23S ribosomal RNA". It matches the Rfam family "Bacterial large subunit ribosomal RNA". Lineage: Bacteria; Pseudomonadati; Pseudomonadota; Gammaproteobacteria; Moraxellales; Moraxellaceae. The record is from RNAcentral.
AGUCAAGUAAUUAAGUGCAUGUGGUGGAUGCCUUGGCAGUCAGAGGCGAUGAAAGACGUGAUAGCCUGCGAAAAGCUCCGGGGAGGCGGCAAAUAUCCUUUGAUCCGGAGAUGUCUGAAUGGGGGAACCCACCUACUUUAAGGUAGGUAUUGCAACAUGAAUACAUAGUGUUGCAAGGCGAACGAGGGGAAGUGAAACAUCUCAGUACCCUUAGGAAAAGAAAUCAAUUGAGAUUCCCUCAGUAGCGGCGAGCGAACGGGGAUCAGCCCAUUAAGUUAUGUGUGUUUUAGUGGAACGCUCUGGGAAGUGCGAACGUAGAGGGUGAUAUUCCCGUACACGAAAGGGCACACAUAAUGAUGACGAGUAGGGCGAGGCACGUGAAACCUUGUCUGAAUAUGGGGGGACCAUCCUCCAAGGCUAAAUACUCCUGACUGACCGAUAGUGAACCAGUACCGUGAGGGAAAGGCGAAAAGAACCCCUGUGAGGGGAGUGAAAUAGAUCCUGAAACCGCAUGCAUACAAGCAGUGGGAGCACCUUCGUGGUGUGACUGCGUACCUUUUGUAUAAUGGGUCAGCGACUUAUAUUCAGUAGCGAGGUUAACCGUAUAGGGGAGCCGUAGAGAAAUCGAGUCUUAAUAGGGCGUUUAGUUGCUGGGUAUAGACCCGAAACCAGGCGAUCUAUCCAUGAGCAGGUUGAAGGUUGGGUAACACUAACUGGAGGACCGAACCCACUGUCGUUGAAAAGCCAGGGGAUGACUUGUGGAUAGGGGUGAAAGGCUAAUCAAGCCUGGUGAUAGCUGGUUCUCCCCGAAAGCUAUUUAGGUAGCGCCUCGGACGAAUACCAUAGGGGGUAGAGCACUGUUUCGGCUAGGGGGUCAUCCCGACUUACCAAACCGAUGCAAACUCCGAAUACCUAUGAGUACUAUCCGGGAGACAGACUGCGGGUGCUAACGUCCGUAGUCAAGAGGAAAACAAUCCAGACCGCCAGCUAAGGCCCCAAAAUCAUAGUUAAGUGGGAAACGAUGUGGGAAGGCAUAGACAGCUAGGAGGUUGGCUUAGAAGCAGCCACCCUUUAAAGAAAGCGUAAUAGCUCACUAGUCGAGUCGGCCUGCGCGGAAGAUGUAACGGGGCUAAAACUAUGUGCCGAAGCUGCGGAUGUAUACUUUGUAUACGUGGUAGGGGAGCGUUCUGUAAGCCGAUGAAGGUGUGUUGAGAAGCAUGCUGGAGGUAUCAGAAGUGCGAAUGCUGACGUGAGUAACGACAAAACGGGUGAAAAACCCGUUCGCCGAAAGACCAAGGGUUCCAGUCCAACGUUAAUCGGGGCUGGGUGAGUCGACCCCUAAGGCGAGGCCGAAAGGCGUAGUCGAUGGGAAAAUGGUUAAUAUUCCAUUACUUCUGUGUAAUGCGAUGAGAGGACGGAGAAGGCUAAAUCAGCCUGGCGUUGGUUGUCCAGGUGAAAGGAUGUAGGCAUGUAUCUUAGGCAAAUCCGGGGUACUCUAUGCUGAGAUCUGAUAGCAAGCUGUACUUGUACAGCGAAGUGGUUGAUGCCAUGCUUCCAGGAAAAGUCUCUAAGCUUCAGUUACACAGGAAUCGUACCCGAAACCGACACAGGUGGUCAGGUCGAGUAGACCAAGGCGCUUGAGAGAACUCUGCUGAAGGAACUAGGCAAAAUGGUACCGUAACUUCGGGAGAAGGUACGCUGUUGUUGGUGAUGGAACUCGCUUCCUGAGCUGACGACAGCCGCAGAAACCAGGCCGCUGCAACUGUUUAUUAAAAACAUAGCACUCUGCAAACACGAAAGUGGACGUAUAGGGUGUGAUGCCUGCCCGGUGCUGGAAGGUUAAUUGAUGGGGUUAGCGUAAGCGAAGCUCUUGAUCGAAGCCCCAGUAAACGGCGGCCGUAACUAUAACGGUCCUAAGGUAGCGAAAUUCCUUGUCGGGUAAGUUCCGACCUGCACGAAUGGCAUAAUGAUGGCGGCGCUGUCUCCAGCAGAGGCUCAGUGAAAUCGAAAUCGCUGUGAAGAUGCAGUGUACCCGCGGCUAGACGGAAAGACCCCGUGAACCUUUACUGCAGCUUGACACUGAACUUUGACCUUACUUGUGUAGGAUAGGUGGGAGGCUUUGAAGCUGGAACGCUAGUUCCAGUGGAGCCGUCCUUGAAAUACCACCCUGGUAAUGUUGAGGUUCUAACUCUGUCCCGUGAUCCGGGACGAGGACCGUGUCUGGUGGGUAGUUUGACUGGGGCGGUCUCCUCCUAAAGAGUAACGGAGGAGUACGAAGGUGCGCUCAGCGUGGUCGGAAAUCACGCGUAGAGUAUAAAGGCAAAAGCGCGCUUAACUGCGAGACCCACAAGUCGAGCAGGUACGAAAGUAGGUCUUAGUGAUCCGGUGGUUCUGUAUGGAAGGGCCAUCGCUCAACGGAUAAAAGGUACUCUGGGGAUAACAGGCUGAUACCGCCCAAGAGUUCAUAUCGACGGCGGUGUUUGGCACCUCGAUGUCGGCUCAUCUCAUCCUGGGGCUGAAGCAGGUCCCAAGGGUAUGGCUGUUCGCCAUUUAAAGAGGUACGCGAGCUGGGUUUAGAACGUCGUGAGACAGUUCGGUCCCUAUCUACCGUGGGCGCUGGAAAUUUGAGAGGAUCUGCUCCUAGUACGAGAGGACCAGAGUGGACGAACCUCUGGUGUACCGGUUGUGACGCCAGUCGCAUCGCCGGGUAGCUAUGUUCGGAAGGGAUAACCGCUGAAAGCAUCUAAGCGGGAAGCCUACCUCAAGAUAAGAUUUCCCUAGGACUUUAUGUCCUCUAAAGAGCCGUUCGAGACUAGGACGUUGAUAGGUUGGAUGUGGAAGCAUAGUGAUAUGUGAAGCUGACCAAUACUAAUUGCUCGUGAGGCUUAACUAU